Molecule: ribosomal RNA, 107 nt
Filed under: Notechis scutatus (mainland tiger snake)
Lineage: Eukaryota; Metazoa; Chordata; Lepidosauria; Squamata; Elapidae
Source: RNAcentral
ACAUGAGCACCAACUCUCUGUGAGUUGCUGGUUUCCAAAGCUAAGCAGGGUUGUUCCUGAGUAGAACUUGAAUGAAGGACCACCUGAGAUUUCCAGGGCUAUUUGUU